Molecule: long non-coding RNA, 565 nt
Organism: Carya illinoinensis
Lineage: Eukaryota; Viridiplantae; Streptophyta; Magnoliopsida; Fagales; Juglandaceae
Exons: 2
Source: RefSeq, a predicted model, not a curated record
UCACGUUGGCGAGCCAAAAAAAUCGGUAGCUUGAUUAUCUUCCCAAAAUUGAUGUCCUAUAUUGUUGUCAUAUUGAUGCAAGGCUAGAGAAGAUGUAUAAAUAUGCCUCAUCAUAUAACCUCAUUUGUGUUCAUCUUAGCAAAUCUAUUACAUAAUAAAAAAGAAAAUGGCUGGAAACUCUUUGAGGCCCGCUUUCGUGACCCUCUUUAUGUUUGCAAUCAUCUUAUUUCCAAUGGUAAUAUGCGAUGCAGCUCAGUUUGCUCAAGAAGUUGUAUGUCCUACUUGUGUAUGUUGCACGCCUAAACGACCGGGGUCUUGUUGCCAGUGUUGCGCUGCUUCCAUCGAGACACCUCCCGAGAAUGGGUCACCCAAAGCUUAGUACUGAUGUCCAUCUUUCAGAUGCUGUCGAGACCUAUGCGGGCAGCAGUAUAAUUCAUAUAUAUCAUGAAUAAUGGGAAUUUCUGCACUUUACUUACCACUUUGAUUUCUGAGAAUAAAUUAGCCUAUUUAUUUGCUAAAAUCAAAUGAAAUGAUUCAUGAAUAAAAGAAAUUCCUCGUGGAUCCA